UACGUAGGGUGCGAGCGUUGUCCGGAAUUAUUGGGCGUAAAGAGCUCGUAGGCGGCUUGUCGCGUCGGUUGUGAAAGCCCGGGGCUUAACCCCGGGUCUGCAGUCGAUACGGGCAGGCUAGAGUUCGGUAGGGGAGAUCGGAAUUCCUGGUGUAGCGGUGAAAUGCGUAGAUAUCUGGAGGAACACCGGUGGCGAAGGCGGCAUCCUGGACCGACACUGACGCUGAGGCGCGAAAGCUAGGGUAGCAAACGGG
Molecule: ribosomal RNA, 253 nt
Filed under: uncultured bacterium
Lineage: Bacteria
Description: partial 16S ribosomal RNA
Rfam family: Bacterial small subunit ribosomal RNA
Source: RNAcentral